UAGACUAUCAAGUAGUUAGGAAAGAAAGUCAGUGAGAUGUCUCAGGCGUGACUCAGCUACGGAAACAAUAGCAAUCAGAGGACAUUUGGAGAUGAAGAAAAAAAAGAAACAAACUUCAAUACAAUGAGAAAUAUACCAGUACAUAGACCUGGAACCAAACCCAGAACUUCACUUCCCUGUGCCAGAAGGAUUCCAGUGAGCUUUUCCCACAGGCCCUACAGUCUUCUCCAGGUGAACCUCGGUCACUAUCUAUAUUUAUUAAUGGUUUCUGUCCUGUAAAUAUCUUCUAUAAUAAAAGAUU
Molecule: long non-coding RNA, 301 nt
Filed under: Homo sapiens (human)
Lineage: Eukaryota; Metazoa; Chordata; Mammalia; Primates; Hominidae
Description: non-protein coding lnc-NIFK-2:6
Source: RNAcentral